RNAcentral lists this long non-coding RNA (609 nucleotides) under Oryctolagus cuniculus (rabbit). RNAcentral's name for it is "lncRNA (ENSOCUG00000029795.1)". Lineage: Eukaryota; Metazoa; Chordata; Mammalia; Lagomorpha; Leporidae. The record is from RNAcentral.
UGGGAGUAACUAUCUACCUAUCUAUCAGUGGAACUAAGAAGGUGAACAAGGAUCUCAGCCUUCAUAACCUUUGGAUAGUUCGACUAUGAGGAAUGCUCUGAACUGUCUCCCAGAGAAUAUUCAAAAUGGCUUUGGGAAAGACCUCAUAUCACCCUAUGCUGGGCACUACCUGAGCCUUUCUUGUUUGAAGACAUCAAUCUAGCUAGUACAGCAAAAUUCCAGUGAUGACUUUCUUCUCUUCAAUUUUUCUGUUUGCCACUUUCUAUAAUACAUGUCAUACAGUUGUUGAAAUGUCAACAUUGAUUGAUUAUCUAUGGCUCAAAUAUUUUCAAUACUUUUAAUCUUUGUCAUGUAAUUCUCUGUAGUGGGAAACAUAAAUGUCCUCUUUUUCACAUUGUUCUGCCCUUUAUAUUUGUAUUUUUGAUCUCAAAGUCUUUUCCUAUAACUCUAUCACCUUCAUUGUCACCAUAUUAUAUUGUAAUUUUGUUAAUUCAUUUCUUUUUUUCAAUCUUUACUAAACCUUCUGUUUUUCUUUCAUAUUUUAGGUUUUGGUCAGUUAGGCAAUCAUCCUUGACAGUCUGUACCAAAAGAAAGAAAAAGAACACCUAA